GAUGAAGAACGCAGCGAAAUGCGAUAAGUAAUGUGAAUUGCAGAAUUCAGUGAAUCAUCGAAUCUUUGAACGCACAUUGCGCCCCCUGGUAUUCCGGGGGGCAUGCCUGUCCGAGCGUCAUUACAACCCUUAAGCUCAGCUUGGUGUUGGGCCCCGCCGCCCCGGCGGGCCCUAAAGUCAGUGGCGGUGCCGUCCGGCUCCGAGCGUAGUAAUUCUUCUCGCUCUGGAGGUCCGGUCGUGUGCUCGCCAGCAACCCCCAAUUUUUUUCAGGUUGACCUCGGAUCAGGUAGGGAUACCCGCUGAACUUAAGCAUAUCAAUAAGCGGAGGA
This 329-nucleotide unclassified non-coding RNA is filed under the name soil metagenome. RNAcentral's name for it is "partial contains 5.8S ribosomal RNA, internal transcribed spacer 2, and large subunit ribosomal RNA". The stretch from base 1 to 120 matches the Rfam family "5.8S ribosomal RNA", at positions 35 to 154 of the family's 154-position model. The record is from RNAcentral.